UAGGUUACAAAAAUAUCUCUAUUUAAAAAAAAAAUACUUUAAGUAUAAGAGUACUUUAGUAAUUUUAAAAUUUAAUUUAAAUAAAAAAUAAAAAAAGUUAGUUAUUCAUUAAUUGUUUUUUAAAAUAAAAAAUAAAAAGAAAAGUAGUUAUUCAGAAUAAUAUUGAAAAUAUAUAUACAAGAGAGUUUACUUGUCAUCGAGC
Molecule: long non-coding RNA, 202 nt
Filed under: Vigna radiata
Lineage: Eukaryota; Viridiplantae; Streptophyta; Magnoliopsida; Fabales; Fabaceae
Description: long non-coding RNA (VRAD_LNC005697)
Source: RNAcentral